Nomascus leucogenys (northern white-cheeked gibbon) is the source of this 149-nucleotide non-coding RNA. It matches the Rfam family "Metazoan signal recognition particle RNA". Rfam says of the family: The signal recognition particle (SRP) is a universally conserved ribonucleoprotein. NCBI's taxonomy places the organism in Eukaryota, Metazoa, Chordata, Mammalia, Primates, Hylobatidae. The record is from Rfam.
GCCGGGCGUGGUGGUGCGCGCCUGUAAUCCCAGCUACUCAGGAGGCUGAGGCAGGAGAAUCGCUUGAACCCAGGAGGCAGAGGUUGCAGUGAGCCGAGAUUGCAGGCACUGCACUCCAACCUGGGCAACAGAGAGAGACUCUGUCUCAA